RNAcentral lists this long non-coding RNA (230 nucleotides) under Homo sapiens (human). RNAcentral describes it as "HSALNT0132587". Lineage: Eukaryota; Metazoa; Chordata; Mammalia; Primates; Hominidae. The record is from RNAcentral.
GUGGUCAUUUUUCUUCUUGUGGCCUCUGGAAUGUGACACAGAACUCAAGGGACAGGAAGGAGAUGAGUUGGAGGCUGGGACAGGGGUCCCUGCCAGGGAUGCUGGUGACUCACGUGACGGUGUUGAUGUGUGGAGUCCGGUGCCUGGUUUGGGGAAUGUUCGUGGGAUAUGUUCCAAAGGACUGACGGACCUAUCAGGUACUGGAGGUGAAUGGUCAAGUCUGAUCUCAG